CCUACGGGAGGCAGCAGUGGGGAAUAUUGCACAAUGGGCGAAACCCUGAUGCAGCGACGCCGCGUGAGUGAAGAAGUACUUCGUUAUGUAAAGCUCUAUCAGCAGGGAAGAAAAUGACGGUACCUGAGUAAGAAGCCCCGGCUAACUACGGGCCAGCAGCCGCGGUAAUACGUAGGGGGCAAGCGUUAUCCGGAUUGACUGGGUGGAAAGGGAGCGUAGACGGGAGUGCAAGUCUGGGGUGAAAGGCGGGGGCGCAACCCGCGGACUGCACUGGAAACUGUACGGCUGGAGUGCAGGAGAGGUAAGUGGAAUUCCUAGUGUAGCGGUGAAAUGCGGAGAUAUUAGGAGGAACGCCAGUGGCGAAGGCGACUUACUGGACUGUAACUGACGUUGAGGCUCGAAAGCGUGGGGAGCAAACAGGAUUAGAUACCCCAGUAGUC
RNAcentral lists this ribosomal RNA (440 nucleotides) under uncultured bacterium. Its description in RNAcentral is "partial 16S ribosomal RNA". It matches the Rfam family "Bacterial small subunit ribosomal RNA", at positions 338 to 795 of the family's 1533-position model. The record is from RNAcentral.